CUCCGUUUCCUCAUCCUCAAAUUGAUUAUUAUAGGAUUUUGGAUGUUCUCAAUAGCACUGAUAAACCUUUAUUUCUCUCUCUCGGCGACAGUCUUAUCGGAGAUUAGGCCGAAAUGGCGACUGCAUAGUCGAUUAGUGCAAGAGAUCGAUCCAAGAUUCCGGAGCUGGUCAUUAGAAACAUCACUUCCUCUUGAUUCAUAAGCAAGCGCACAUGCAAAUCAUCAGCAAACCCAUGAUCAAGUUUGUAACUCAGGUUUCAAAAAAAUACCAAUCUUAGUCCUCCUUGAAACAUAUGAAGAACACAACAGUAGCUGCUUCAGUAUCCUCUGAAGAGUUGGUCUUUCAAUUGGUCCGCAACUGCGUCGAGCCGUUGGGAAAGUCAAAGAAUUUGAGAGAUUUCCAUCAAGAUUCACUGUCGAUCGGCUUCCAUAGGAAGAGCUCACCGCCGCCAAAUCACCAUCUACCCCCGCCGUUAAUGGUGUUUCUGUUCAUCUCAGCUUUUGAGUGAUCGAAAGUUUUCACCUUUUUAUUAAAAUAUGAUUCAAUCGUGAAUCUUGGGAAUAUCUGUUAGAUGAAGAAGCUCGGAGAACAACGAACGAUGAUAGUGUUUUAGAAGAACGAGACCCACAAUAUGAUACAAUGUUGAACCAAAUGGUGGGGAGAAUAAAGGCUAAACCAGGAAGCAAAGCUGAGAUGGGAGAGGUUAGUAGUGUGUAACAAGUCUAUGCUUUUUGAGUUUUUGAUAUUGGUUUGACUACCUUCAUUGAUAGUUAAUGUAAUUGUUUCUGACUUCUGAGAAUGUUCUUGGAAAAUCCUUUGUGUUGUCUUGAAGUCACAUCUUGGGAACAUUUGUUUUCAUUAACGAUUUCUUUAGGUGAAGAAUUCAAAAUGUUCAUGAGCUGCAGAGUUAGUUCAUAAUUUUGCUGAAGAAAGUUUCCACGGCUAUCGCUUCUGUCAUUUAUGACUCAGUGAACUUCUCCUACUUUUUUUUUGAUUUUGACGAUGAUGAUAUAAAUGUGCAUUUUUCCCAAGAUGAGAUUUCACGAGUUGGGGCCUGCAGUAUUGUCAAUGUCAAGAAUCAAUAUGUCAGGCCUUCUAAUGAAGAUCCACUUCAAGCUUUAAUCCAGGACAUGUUUUUGGAUAAAGCAGAAUUCAGUCUCCUUCUUUUCAGUUAUUAUAUUUGCAUGAUCGAAUUGAAAGUUUUCAACUUUAGCUGAAACAAAUCUCAAACCGCAACGCACAAAAAGUCACAAGAUAAGAAUCUGAGGAGAGAGAAGGGCCUGAGGAAUCCAAAAAAUCUGAGGAGAGAGAAGGGCCUGAGGAAUCUGAAACUGGAGCCGCUUGAGUCCAGAGCUAGGGGAAAGAGAAUGUGAACCGGUUGAUAAUGAUCGUCCAACGACAGUUUGAUCUAGAGACCAUAUAAGCUUUACUCAGAUCUCUUCUCUCUGUCUAUGCUUUACGGUUCUGUCAUUUGUGGAGGAAGGGAGUAAUGAUUACCCUCGGAUUUGGAGUUUAUUUACGUCUUUGCCAUCUGAUUUUAGCUUUACGUUUCUCUCUUUCUGGCAGACCUCACCAACUGCAGAGAAAUUUAAGGUUGAGUGUUUUGAUGAAGCCUGAGCUUGGUGGGGACUGGAUACAUUCUCUUUUUGCAGUAUAUAUGAAGAGGGAUCGUUUUUAGACCGGUCCAUCAAGUAUUUCUCUGAUUGCAAUUGGUUUAAAUGAAAUCAAGAAUAGAGGCUUACACCGAGGUAGAGGAAAUGACAUGUUUGUAAUGUGGUUGGUCAUUUUUUAUUUAUCUAUUUGUUAGGUUUUUCAGAAGAGAGAGUACUAGAGAAGCAAAAGAAACAUGAAGUUUUGUUAGGAUUAUUGAAAGCAGAAAUUAUCUGCAAGUCAAACAGCGUAUGGGUUACUCAGGAUUUUCAAACAUUUUGUUAUGAACUUUAGUUACUUCGUAUCAAAUACCAUGUUAAAUUUUAGGGUUAUCAUUCUUGGAUUCUA
Brassica rapa (field mustard) is the source of this 1998-nucleotide long non-coding RNA. RefSeq lists it as uncharacterized. The record is from RefSeq and is a predicted model, not a curated record. NCBI's taxonomy places the organism in Eukaryota, Viridiplantae, Streptophyta, Magnoliopsida, Brassicales, Brassicaceae.